This 254-nucleotide ribosomal RNA is filed under the name uncultured bacterium. Its description in RNAcentral is "partial 16S ribosomal RNA". It matches the Rfam family "Bacterial small subunit ribosomal RNA", at positions 524 to 776 of the family's 1533-position model. The record is from RNAcentral.
UACGGGGGGAGCAAGCGUGGUUCGGAUUUACUGGGCGUAAAGGGCGCGUAGGCGGCCAGCACAAGUCAGUUGUGAAAUCUCCGAGCUUAACUCGGAAAGGUCAACUGAUACUGUGCGGCUAGAGUGCGGAAGGGGCAACUGGAAUUCUUGGUGUAGCGGUGAAAUGCGUAGAUAUCAAGAGGAACACCUGCGGCGAAGGCGGGUUGCUGGGCCGACACUGACGCUGAAGCGCGAAAGCCAGGGGAGCGAACGGG